CAAGGCUUAAUCACCACAACUUGAGGAGGUGGGAGAGCAGAGGAGGAAUGGGCAAGGCAGAAACAAUUCUGGAUCAGGAGUCUCAUGGCAAACGAGGAAAACACGAUUCUGUGUUUUUGAACGGGAUGCUUCCAGAAAAAAAACUGCGAGGAUGGAGAAAGCAGAGGUCCUCCCGACGUUGACUCUGGACAUUGGGGAGUGGAUCCUGUGACUUGCUUUGCCAAAUGGACAUCAGCAAAUGUGAUGCUAGGAGAGGCUUGAAAAGUGCUUGUGCUUUGGGACUUGCCUCUCAGAACAGCCGCCUUCCGGGCUCACCUGCUACAUAUCUAGCACCAGCUGCUGGUCAGCAGAGUGAAGCCGUCUCAGACCACCUGGCCCAGCCAAGCCUUCCAGGACUGCAGCCUCAUGAGUGACUACAGGACCCAAGGUCAGCUUUCUAAAAAUCAACUUGCCUCAUGAUCAGUUUGCCAAAUGACCAAUCACUGAAUUGAUAAAGCUUACUCAUUUACCUCCAAGUUAUCUCUUUUGACUUUCAAGGCAGAGUGGACAGUGAAAGAGACAGAGAGAAAGGUCUUCAUUUUGCCGUUGGUUCACCCUCCAAUGGCCGGCGCACGAAGGUGAUCCAAAGGCAGGAGCCAGG
Molecule: non-coding RNA, 640 nt
Organism: Oryctolagus cuniculus (rabbit)
Lineage: Eukaryota; Metazoa; Chordata; Mammalia; Lagomorpha; Leporidae
Source: RefSeq, a predicted model, not a curated record